This 469-nucleotide ribosomal RNA is filed under the name uncultured bacterium. RNAcentral's name for it is "partial 16S ribosomal RNA". It matches the Rfam family "Bacterial small subunit ribosomal RNA", at positions 27 to 507 of the family's 1533-position model. The record is from RNAcentral.
GGACGAACGCUGGCGGCGUGCUUAACACAUGCAAGUCGAACGGAAAGGCCCUGCUUUUGUGGGGUGCUCGAGUGGCGAACGGGUGAGUAACACGUGAGUAACCUGCCCUUGACUUUGGGAUAACUUCAGGAAACUGGGGCUAAUACCGGAUAGGAGCUCCUGCUGCAUGGUGGGGGUUGGAAAGUUUCGGCGGUUGGGGAUGGACUCGCGGCUUAUCAGCUUGUUGGUGGGGUAGUGGCUUACCAAGGCUUUGACGGGUAGCCGGCCUGAGAGGGUGACCGGCCACAUUGGGACUGAGAUACGGCCCAGACUCCUACGGGAGGCAGCAGUGGGGAAUAUUGCACAAUGGGCGGAAGCCUGAUGCAGCAACGCCGCGUGCGGGAUGAAGGCCUUCGGGUUGUAAACCGCUUUCGCCUGUGACGAAGCGUGAGUGACGGUAAUGGGUAAAGAAGCACCGGCUAACUACGUG